This 450-nucleotide ribosomal RNA is filed under the name uncultured bacterium. Its description in RNAcentral is "bacterial SSU rRNA". It matches the Rfam family "Bacterial small subunit ribosomal RNA", at positions 340 to 782 of the family's 1533-position model. The record is from RNAcentral.
UACGGAGGCAGCAGUGGGGAAUAUUGCACAAUGGGCGAAAGCCUGAUGCAGCUAUGCCGCGUGUAUGAAGAAGGCCUUAGGGUUGUAAAGUACUUUCAUCGGGGAGGAAAAACAAAACUAAUAAUUUUAUUUCUUGACGUUACCCGAAAAAGAAGCACCGGCUAACUCCGUGCCAGCAGCCGCGGUAAUACGGAGGGUGCUAGCGUUAAUCAGAAUUACUGGGCGUAAAGAGCACGUAGGUGGUUUUUUUAAGUCAGAUGUGAAAUCCCUGGGCUUAACCUAGGAACUGCAUUUUGAAACUGAAAUACUAGAGUAUCGUAGAGGGAGGUAGAAUUCUAGGUGUAGCGGUGAAAUGCGUAGAUAUCUGGAGGAAUACCUGUGGCGAAAGCGGCCUCCUAAACGAAUACUGACACUGAGGUGCGAAAGCGUGGGGAGCAAACAGGGAUUAGA